AGAGUCCCUGCAACUUCGCUUAUUCCGGAUUGCCGCGGUGCUGAGCCGGCCGCCUGAGCUUGAGCGAGUCUCUGUGCGCCCCGCACUUGGCACACACCCCAAGGGGCACGGAUCAGUGCACGCUGGCUCCCGGAUCUUCGGAUACAGUUUUCUUUCUCCCAAGUUUUGAGCCCAUGUUACAAUAAAGAAAGAGUUGCUGAGCAGAGGCACCCAAUCUAUGUUUCCUGCCAUCAAAGCCACCUGAAAAAGCGGGGGUAAAAGCGUCCAUCUGUGCAUCUCAGGGAGCAGGGGGAAAAGGCCCUGGUGUGUGCCCAUCCUGAAGUCACUGCGCCUUGGUCUUUGGAACCUAUGAGACAAGAGCAAGCCUUGGCAGCUUCCCUCAGCCUCAACGUCUCCGUGUCUCUCGUGAACACACUUUUGGUAACUUACGUGGAUUACAUCGAGUGCCUCAGCUCCUGCUUAGAUCUGAGAGUCAGACUGCGGAAGUCUCAGUGUGGCCUUGGACCAGGUCUGGCAGAACCAACCAGAUAAAACCCGCAGCAGGCCUUUGGGCCUUCAAACUUCUCCUGCCACAAAAGCUCCACCAGCCCAAGUUCUUGGCCUGCAGGGUCAGGCUGUGUGUGUACCCUGCAGGCAAGCAAGCGAUUUGCAGAAGGUCCUCCUCAGCUCCAGUUGGGCUGGUGGGAUGCGCUUCCCUGCGGGGCGUCUACUUUUUCUUCCAUAAUUCAAUCUACUAGGCAAAAGAACAUGCUAAUGAACCCAGCAGAAAGCCUUGAGUGGUUUAAGAUGAACAACUUGAGAAGGAGGCCUGUGUCUUGCUGGCCUUGGAAUCCUUCCUGGCUGUACUGAAGAACCAGCAAGGGCCCCAGCUCCUACAUUUACUCUCCAGUGUCCCCUCUGGUGGGCAUUCGUCAUCCCUUCCACCACACAGCUACCCACCAUCUAACCUUUGGCUGUUUUUCUCCUGUAACCCCGAAGAAGAGACAAUUCCUACUUAGAGAAGGGCAGCCUCUCCAACCCUGGAGAACCUCCCAGACGGUUUCCAGAAAUCCUCUUUCUGCAGGUCACGCCUUUGUGUGAUCCUUCUAUCCUGUGUUAGAGACAGCAGUGCCUGCUGAGCCUGCCAGAUCAGGUUAUAAAAAUAGUGACCCUCCCCUACCUCCAGACUCCCUCCCUCCACCCCACCCCCAGCACUUCCUCCAAGCUGCCAUUUUGUGAAUGGUUCUGUGGAGAAACUUGGAAGACAAGGAGCUGGCAAAGGCAGCUAAGGGACUGAACCGGAAGUCCUCCUCUCCCUACCCCGAGACAACAGCAUCUGCCCGCCCGAGGUUUUGCUUAGGAAGGAUUCUGGGCCACAGGCGCUCAACGAGGUAAGCCUGGAGAUAGUCAAUGGUUGUUUUAAGAUGAGUUUUUAAAUCUCUUAUUAUUUUACAGGGCUAUGCAAGACCAUCUUAACACACAUGUGGAAUGCACUCUGAGUAUAAUUCCCCCAAACUCAGCCGCCCUCAGGUUAACCCCCAACUGUCACCCUAUGAUACUUACAUGUCACACCAAAGCAUAUGUGACUUUUUGUGUCUAUAAAGUCUAGGAAACACAUGAGAGAACCUAUGUUUGCCUUCCUUUGAUUGGUUUAAUUUCUUGAUAUGAUUAUCGCCAAUUGUAUCUAUUUUCCUGCGACAGAUAUAAAUUUCAUUACUUAUGGUUGAUGAAAGAGACAGUGUAUAUAAAUCCCAUCUUCUUCAUGUGUUCCGCUGUGGACAGACACCUAGAUUGAUCCCAGAACUUAAUAUUGUGAAUAAUACUGCAGUAAAUUGCUGAGGGCAAGUCUCUCUGUGAAAUGUUGACUUGGACUUUUUAUUGAGACUCUAUCUCGCCCCCAAUCAGGUUGGCAGUCAUCAACAAAACAAAUGUCUAGGUGAUGAGGAUGAGGACAAAAGGGAAUGCUUAUACAUCGUUGGUGAGGAUGUAAAUAAGUCAGCCUACUGUGGAGGUCUCUCAAACAUUUAAAACUUGGAUCUGCAGAGAGGGCUCAGUGGUUGAGAGUGCUUGCUGCCUUUCACUGUUUGUUGCUCUGUGCAGAAGAGUGGAUUUCAGCGUCUCUAGCACCCACACUGGUUGUUGGCUCGCAACCUGAUGUUAACUGCAGCUCCAAAUCUGAUGCUCUCUCCUGGCAUCCAUAGGCAUCCGUUCUCGUGUAUGUACACGCACACGCACAAAUAAAAAACAAUCCCUGAAAACUGACCUGUCCCAGACUUGCUGUGCUGCCUCUCCUGGCUAUUUCCCCGGAGCCUUUGAGCUUUGCCAUGAGCUGUUACCCAGGAAGUGAUGACUAACGGGCCCUGUAAUGUACGCAAGGACAUGGCUACUGGCACCACCUCCCCUUCCCUGCAGAAAUUUUUAAAAGUUAUUUCCUCUUUAAAACAAACAAGCAAACAAACAAACAAAAACAACAACCCCCCUCCCAAACACAAAAAACAAAAACAAACAAAAAAACCGAAAGAAACAGCAAAAACCCCAGCACCUCACUGGCUUCUUCCUCCAGUUACCGCCUCACAUCUAGGCUCUUCCUACAAUAAAUGUCUUCCAUAUUGUAAGAUGUCCAUGUUGGCCAUCUUUGCUUCUGUGUCAUCUUCUUUCUUAUAAUCCUCUUGUGAGGGUUGCCCUUCUCUGACGUCACCUUUCUACUUCUCAUCACUGGGCCUGUGCUUUCUGGCUCCGCACUGACUUUAGUCAUCCUCCUUCAACCCUCUCAACUGCUCCCUCCUAAUUUUCUCACUACCUCCUCUUUCUGUGAGCUUUAAUACUUGGCCAGGACUCAGUUCUUUAGCAUCUCCUUCGCUCUGUCUAUGCUUUCUUGGUGGUUUUGUUAGCCCUGUUACUAAUUAAUAUUUCAAAUGCAGUGGCUUGAAUGGUACCCAUUUGAGCUCUCAGAGCUAUAGGUUUCAAAUAGGAGUUAUGGUGCGGUUGUGCCCUCUGCUUAGUCUCAAAAGUUGAAGUCAAGGGUUGAGCUCGGCUGACCUUUCAUGUGACCUUUGGAGUGUGCUUUGGAAUGCCUUUGGGAGUUAGCUGAAUUCAGUCCCCUGAGGUUAGAGGAUAGGGUGCUGCCUUGUCACGCAGGAUGUCAGCCCGGAGCUGCUCCCAGCGCUUGAGGCCUACCUCUUCCUGCUUCAUGGGCCUACCCUCCAAGGCAACAAUAGCAAAAGUUGCAGGCUUCCCGGACUUCCUCAUUCCUGCCUCUCUCAGGCCUUUCCUCUUCCAUCUCUCUGACUGAGCCAAAGAAAACCCUCUGCCCUCAAAGGCUCUCAUAUAUUUAUCAGAUCCCUCCUGGCCAUCUAGGACACUCCCUCUCUUCAGAAGUCAGGACCUUAGCCAUACGCGCAAAGCCUUGUUUGUCAUGGAACACAACAGUCACACACCUAGCUAUCAGAGUAUGGGCAUGUUAGGGAGACGCCUCUGUUUGCCACAGGCUACCAAGUUGCUCUCCCUAUUUACACACUCGAAUUUUUCCAGCCAUGGCUUCUUAUCUUAUAGUAGAGCCACCGGCAUCCUCAUAAGGUCUGAUCUGCUUUACAUAAUCCUCAUUGUCCAAGCCUUCUGCGACACUCUAACAUCCUUGCUGCUGCCCAAACACAUGCGCAUUGUAUUCUGAUCCCUGUUCUUCCUUAACACUGAGUCCACAUCCCUCCCCUCUGUCUGACUCAUCCCCUCGCAGCUGAUCUGUGUUUCUACCUUCACACCAAGACUCCCUGGCCAUUUGUCGAAAAACAGCAUCUUGAAGCAGGAUUUGUAGCCCUUGCACCUAAUCUCAGAGCUUGGGAGACAGAGGUAGAAGGAUCUCUGGCGGUUCAAGGUUGGCAUGAUGUACAUGGCUAGUUCAAACAUAGCUAGAGCUACAUAAUAACGAGACCCUGUCUC
Mus musculus (house mouse) is the source of this 3915-nucleotide long non-coding RNA. RefSeq annotates it as predicted gene, 32045. The record is from RefSeq and is a predicted model, not a curated record. Lineage: Eukaryota; Metazoa; Chordata; Mammalia; Rodentia; Muridae. The transcript is spliced from 3 exons.